GUCUACGGCCAUACCACCCUGAACACGCCCGAUCUCGUCUGAUCUCGGAAGCUAAGCAGGGUCGGGCCUGGUUAGUACUUGGAUGGGAGGAUGCUUGAGGUGUUAAUGUAGGGUGCUUGAGGUG
Molecule: ribosomal RNA, 124 nt
Filed under: Erinaceus europaeus (western European hedgehog)
Lineage: Eukaryota; Metazoa; Chordata; Mammalia; Eulipotyphla; Erinaceidae
Source: RNAcentral